UAGCAGCACAUCAUGAUUUGUG
Molecule: microRNA, 22 nt
Filed under: Python bivittatus (Burmese python)
Lineage: Eukaryota; Metazoa; Chordata; Lepidosauria; Squamata; Pythonidae
Description: pbv-miR-15a-5p
Gene: pbv-miR-15a-5p
Source: miRBase by way of RNAcentral